CCUACCAAUAACUUCAGCUGC
This 21-nucleotide non-coding RNA is filed under the name Arabidopsis thaliana (thale cress). Lineage: Eukaryota; Viridiplantae; Streptophyta; Magnoliopsida; Brassicales; Brassicaceae. The record is from RNAcentral.